AACGAACGCUGGCGGCAUGCCUAACACAUGCGAGUCGAACGAGACCUUCGGGUCUAGUGGCGCACGGGUGCGUAACGCGUGGGAACCUGCCCUUAGGUUCGGAAUAACUCCCCGAAAGGGGUGCUAAUACCGGAUAAUGUCUUCGGACCAAAGAUUUAUCGCCUUUGGAUGGGCCCGCGUUGGAUUAGCUAGUUGGUAGGGUAAAAGCCUACCAAGGCGACGAUCCAUAGCUGGUCUGAGAGGAUGAUCAGCCACACUGGGACUGAGACACGGCCCAGACUCCUGCGGGAGGCAGCAGUGGGGAAUAUGGGACAAUGGGCGAAAGCCGGAUCCAGCAAUGCCGCGGGAGUGAUGAAGGCCUUAGGGUUGUAAAGCUCUUUUACCCGGGAUGAUAAGGACAGUACCGGGAGAAUAAGCUCCGGCUAACUCCGG
RNAcentral lists this ribosomal RNA (432 nucleotides) under uncultured bacterium. RNAcentral's name for it is "partial 16S ribosomal RNA". It matches the Rfam family "Bacterial small subunit ribosomal RNA", at positions 29 to 506 of the family's 1533-position model. The record is from RNAcentral.